GCAAACUUGGUCAUUUAGAGGAAGUAAAAGUCGUAACAAGGUCUCCGUUGGUGAACCAGCGGAGGGAUCAUUACAGGGUCUGACGACUGCCCAAACCAAACCGUGAACUAUUUACUUAAAAAAUGCUUUGGCAGGCCGCUCGCUGGGGGAGCCUUGGACCGCCGUGAGGUGGUUGGGCUGCCGAAGGCAUGUAAAUCAAAACUCACUGAAUAACUUUCUGAGAAAAUAUUACCUCCCUCGGGAGAAAAAAUAUCACAACUCAUAACAAUGGAUCUCUUGGCUCUGGCAUCGAUGAAGAACGCAGC
This 305-nucleotide unclassified non-coding RNA is filed under the name uncultured fungus. Its description in RNAcentral is "partial contains small subunit ribosomal RNA, internal transcribed spacer 1, and 5.8S ribosomal RNA". The stretch from base 1 to 73 matches the Rfam family "Eukaryotic small subunit ribosomal RNA", at positions 1759 to 1831 of the family's 1831-position model. The record is from RNAcentral. Lineage: Eukaryota; Fungi.